ACACACAAGGCAGGAAGUCAAACAAGACAUGACACAAGAGAAACACAGACACUACAAAAUAAACCGGAGACUAAACAAAACCCAGGAUCAACAGUCGUAAGACAACCAGGCUGACAGGGAGGACUCACAACAGGUGUACAAGACAAGACAUGCAGGACAGGGCUACAUGGACACAUAAGACUCACCCAGUUUGAGACUGAGGCCGAUCUUUGGCCGGUGUUCCUCCUGCGGCAGAGCCUCAGGGGGAGAGUUUUCGUGGGGGAUGAUGAUGCCGCAGGGCGACUCGUCCCCGGGUGUGUUGGGGGACGCGUUGCCACUGGCAGACGACACUGAGGGUGCUGCUGUGAUGGGCCGCAUCGUGGGCUUCAAGCAUGGUUUUGAGUCAGGGUUAUCUUCGUCAUGGUCAUCUUCCUCACCCUCCUCCACCUCGUCGUCUGAGUGGACAGGUCGUGCGCGGGGUUCUGAUCUCUCCGGUUCCUGUCGGCACUCCCGGUGGUCUCGUGAACCCCUGUGGCGUUCCCGUACCUCCUCGGGCUCCGGCUCUUGGAUGAUGGGAGGUUGUCGCAGACGCUCCUCCUCUUCCUCCUCCAUCUGGACCAAUAAGAGGCAGAUAUGCAGAAGAUUAACACUCAAUUCGUGUUUGACAGAAAAGAAGGUCAGCAGACAAUGAAAGCUGGACACCACAGAUGUGCAGAAAUGCAGAGACACUCUAAUCAUAAAGUGACCUUCACAGAGACAACAGACAUGCCCACUCCCUAUAGAUAUAAAGGCAAACACACAAACAUUAUUAUUAUUAUAAAUAAACAUACCCUGCGUAGCUCUGCGUCUGGGUUUGGAUGUC
Perca flavescens (yellow perch) is the source of this 841-nucleotide long non-coding RNA. RefSeq lists it as uncharacterized. The record is from RefSeq and is a predicted model, not a curated record. Lineage: Eukaryota; Metazoa; Chordata; Actinopteri; Perciformes; Percidae. The transcript has 2 exons.